This 462-nucleotide ribosomal RNA is filed under the name Actinomycetales bacterium TLI291. RNAcentral's name for it is "partial 16S ribosomal RNA". It matches the Rfam family "Bacterial small subunit ribosomal RNA", at positions 162 to 638 of the family's 1533-position model. The record is from RNAcentral. Lineage: Bacteria; Bacillati; Actinomycetota; Actinomycetes; Actinomycetales.
UCUAAUACCGGAUANNANNNNNNNNNGCAUCUGCGAGGGUUAAAAGCUCCGGCGGUGCAGGAUGAGCCCGCGGCCUAUCAGCUUGUUGGUGAGGUAAUGGCUCACCAAGGCGACGACGGGUAGCCGGCCUGAGAGGGCGACCGGCCACACUGGGACUGAGACACGGCCCAGACUCCUACGGGAGGCAGCAGUGGGGAAUAUUGCACAAUGGGCGAAAGCCUGAUGCAGCGACGCCGCGUGAGGGAUGACGGCCUUCGGGUUGUAAACCUCUUUCAGCAGGGAAGAAGCGAAAGUGACGGUACCUGCANAAGAAGCGCCGGCUAACUACGUGCCAGCAGCCGCGGUAAUACGUAGGGCGCAAGCGUUGUCCGGAAUUAUUGGGCGUAAAGAGCUCGUAGGCGGCUUGUCACGUCGAUUGUGAAAGCCCGAGGCUUAACCUCGGGUCUGCAGUCGAUACGGGCU